Molecule: small nuclear RNA, 107 nt
Organism: Artibeus jamaicensis (Jamaican fruit-eating bat)
Lineage: Eukaryota; Metazoa; Chordata; Mammalia; Chiroptera; Phyllostomidae
Source: RefSeq, a predicted model, not a curated record
GUGCUUGCUUUGGCAGCACAUGCACUAAAAUGGAAAUGAUACAAAGAUGAUUAGCAUGGCGCCUGUGCAAGGAUGACAGGCACAUUGGUGAAGCAUUCCAUACUUUA